AGGUGCAUAGCUCAAUGGUAGAGUACCGGUUUCCAAAACCGUAGGUUGAGGGUUCAAAUCCUUCUGUGCCUGC
This 73-nucleotide transfer RNA is filed under the name Pediastrum duplex. RNAcentral's name for it is "tRNA-Trp". It matches the Rfam family "tRNA". Rfam says of the family: Transfer RNA (tRNA) molecules are approximately 80 nucleotides in length. Their secondary structure includes four short double-helical elements and three loops (D, anti-codon, and T loops). Further hydrogen bonds mediate the characteristic L-shaped molecular structure. tRNAs have two regions of fundamental functional importance: the anti-codon, which is responsible for specific mRNA codon recognition, and the 3' end, to which the tRNAs corresponding amino acid is attached (by aminoacyl-tRNA synthetases). tRNAs cope with the degeneracy of the genetic code in two manners: having more than one tRNA (with a specific anti-codon) for a particular amino acid; and 'wobble' base-pairing, i.e. permitting non-standard base-pairing at the 3rd anti-codon position. The record is from RNAcentral. Lineage: Eukaryota; Viridiplantae; Chlorophyta; Chlorophyceae; Sphaeropleales; Hydrodictyaceae.